GGAGGCAGCAGUGAGGAAUAUUGGUCAAUGGACGCAAGUCUGAACCAGCCAUGCCGCGUGCAGGAAGACGGCUUAUGAGUUGUAAACUGCUUUUGUACUAGGGUAACGCUCUUACGUGUAGGAGCCUGAAAGUAUAGUACGAAUAAGGAUCGGCUAACUCCGUGCCAGCAGCCGCGGUAAUACGGAGGAUCCAAGCGUUAUCCGGAUUUAUUGGGUUUAAAGGGUGCGUAGGCGGUUUGAUAAGUUAGAGGUGAAAUAC
This 259-nucleotide ribosomal RNA is filed under the name uncultured bacterium. RNAcentral describes it as "partial 16S ribosomal RNA". It matches the Rfam family "Bacterial small subunit ribosomal RNA", at positions 344 to 602 of the family's 1533-position model. The record is from RNAcentral.